Long non-coding RNA from Parus major (Great Tit), 870 nucleotides. The record is from Ensembl. Lineage: Eukaryota; Metazoa; Chordata; Aves; Passeriformes; Paridae.
CCAACAGCCCAGCAAAACAGUGACAAGAAGAGUUCCAACAACACCCAGGGACACAGAGAGCAAAGAGGGUGCCUCAGGCCUCUCCCAGCCAGCAGACCUUUUCCUGGUCCUUGUGGCGAGAAGCCUCUUGGAUAUUCCUGCCCAAAGAGACUGAGUGGGUGAAUGGAAGAUGCAGACACAAUUAAGCAGAUAUUGCAAACAGGAGGAUAUGUUUCAUGGACACAAGCUGCCAGAGUCUCGCAGUAACCAGUCCCAACCAAAAAUAUUUCCCUUUCGGAUUUUGUCAUUAUAUCCCAGAUCUGUUCUCACAGUGGAAAACUUGAAAAGGUUGGAAGAGGAAUAUGCAGCUUCUAAAAAAGCCUUCAAAAUGCAGAGAAUGCAAGAUUAUAUUGAGCAGGUUAAUCUUGCUCUCUUCAACAAAGAGACAACUAGGACAACCAGCAGAGAUUUUGUCUGUGAUGCAGAGCCUGAAGGAGCCUCAUCAUCUCUUCCUGCAAAACAAGCAAACAUUGCAAUUGAGUUUUCUCAAAGACCUCUGAAGAAAGAAGAGAGAUUGACAGCACUGUAUUCUCAGUCCACUCAGCCCACAAGACUUGUGCCAAAGAAAUCCAGGCUGCUCUUCCAGCUGAGGAAAAAAAAUAGGUCUGAUUCCCCAGCCACAGUAAAUCACCAUAAUACCACCCAUCCCACCACCAGUGCUGCUGCAGAAAGGCGGAUUUACACCAUCUUGGAGACGUAGCUCCCUCCUCCCAUCUGCCCGAUAUAAACAUACAGACGUAUCUAAUCCUCCCUGCAGAGAGAGGGCAGAGAGAGAACAUUGAAAAGACAGCCGAUUCAAUUUAAUAAUAAACAAUAAAAAAACAAAGACCA